CUACGGAGGGGACUAGCGUUGUUCGGAAUUACUGGGCGUAAAGCGUACGUAGGCGGAUCAGAAAGUAUGGGGUGAAAUCCCAGGGCUCAACCCUGGAACUGCCUCAUAAACUCCUGGUCUUGAGUUCGAGAGAGGUGAGUGGAAUUCCGAGUGUAGAGGUGAAAUUCGUAGAUAUUCGGAGGAACACCAGUGGCGAAGGCGGCUCACUGGCUCGAUACUGACGCUGAGGUACGAAAGUGUGGGGAGCAAACAGGAUUAGAAACCCCAGUAGUCC
This 274-nucleotide ribosomal RNA is filed under the name uncultured bacterium. RNAcentral describes it as "partial 16S ribosomal RNA". It matches the Rfam family "Bacterial small subunit ribosomal RNA", at positions 523 to 796 of the family's 1533-position model. The record is from RNAcentral.